This 253-nucleotide ribosomal RNA is filed under the name uncultured bacterium. RNAcentral describes it as "partial 16S ribosomal RNA". It matches the Rfam family "Bacterial small subunit ribosomal RNA", at positions 524 to 776 of the family's 1533-position model. The record is from RNAcentral.
UACAGAGGGGGCAAGCGUUGUUCGGAAUUACUGGGCGUAAAGGGCGCGUAGGCGGCCUUCUAAGUCGAACGUGAAAUCCCCGGGCUCAACCCGGGAACUGCGUCCGAUACUGGAAGGCUUGAAUCCGGGAGAGGGAUGUGGAAUUCCAGGUGUAGCGGUGAAAUGCGCAGAUAUCAGGAGGAACACCGGUGGCGAAGGCGGGUCUCUGGGCCGAAACUGACGCUGAGGAGCGAAAGCGUGGGGAGCGAACAGG